Physella acuta is the source of this 489-nucleotide long non-coding RNA. RefSeq lists it as uncharacterized. The record is from RefSeq and is a predicted model, not a curated record. Lineage: Eukaryota; Metazoa; Mollusca; Gastropoda; Physidae.
CCAUCCUGGCUGACAUUACAUUUGGUUCUCUCGGUCAUACACUUUAUUUAGUGCGUACCGACGUGAACUGAAAAACUUGUUUUUUUUUGUAUCAGCUAGACAAGCCAACACAGCAUCAAAUAUUACCACCAGCGUAGUCUGUGCAAAUAAAAUACAUCAUGUCUCAUCUGUUGUUCUUCUGUUGUUUGUCGCUUCUGUUUGUGACAGCGUGUGGUCGUGGGCGGAUCGGGCUGUGUGUGGAGAGAUGUGAGUACAGCCCCACACUCUCAGCUGUGGGUGGGGGCGACGGCUGUCCCAAGGGCUACGAGUGCAGGUCAAAUGGGUGUGGUCAUACCUGUCAACCCAAAAGAAAACGCCCUUUACUUUCUUGAUCUAAGAAGCGAACAGUUUAUCUGAUUGACAACUUUUGGCUAAACACCCGUCAUCAGCUGUCAUGUUUUGAACAUAGAAAUCAUAGACAAAAGAUGAUUAAACACACUCUGUAAAAUC